UAUUAUUACUGUAUUAUUCAAACAUAUUACAAAUUGCAAAGAACUCGCAUGAUAUAUGCAUAAUACAUUUCUUGAGGGGUUGGAAAUUUAUUGAUGGGAAGAGACAUCUUCAUCUUCGUCUUCGUGUUCAUCAGCAUACGCAGAAGACUGAGACGAGUUUUCUGCAGUAACAGCACCCGGGCCAUCUUCAUUCUUGCUCCUGAACAGAUACAACAUGGACAGACUGUUAUAGGUGGAGCUUGGCUUUUGUUUCAGUUCCUCUAUAGUGCUAAUCGUAGCAACUAAUGGUGCUCCG
Molecule: long non-coding RNA, 295 nt
Filed under: Salvia miltiorrhiza (redroot sage)
Lineage: Eukaryota; Viridiplantae; Streptophyta; Magnoliopsida; Lamiales; Lamiaceae
Description: long non-coding RNA (SMIL_LNC012947)
Source: RNAcentral